UCGUAAAACUCUGUUGUUAGAGAAGAACAAGGAUGAGAGUAACUGUUCAUCCCUUGACGGUAUCUAACCAGAAAGCCACGGCUAACUACGUGGGAGCAGCCGCGGUAAUACGAUGGUGGCAAGCGUUGUCCGGAUUUAUUGGGCGUAAAGCGAGCGCAGGCGGUUUUUUAAGUCUGAUGUGAAAGCCCCCGGCUCAACCGGGGAGGGUCAUUGGAAACUGGGAGACUUGAGUGCAGAAGAGGAGAGUGGAAUUCUGUGUAGCGGUGAAAUGCGUAGAUAUAUGGAGGAACACCAGUGGCGAAGGCGGCUCUCUGGUC
RNAcentral lists this ribosomal RNA (317 nucleotides) under Enterococcus faecium. RNAcentral's name for it is "bacterial SSU rRNA". It matches the Rfam family "Bacterial small subunit ribosomal RNA", at positions 423 to 734 of the family's 1533-position model. Lineage: Bacteria; Bacillati; Bacillota; Bacilli; Lactobacillales; Enterococcaceae. The record is from RNAcentral.